GGGGCUGGGGCUCAGUGGUAGAGCACUUGUCUCGCGCAUAUGAGGUCCUGGGUUCAAUCCUCAGCACCA
RNAcentral lists this transfer RNA (69 nucleotides) under Ictidomys tridecemlineatus (thirteen-lined ground squirrel). Its description in RNAcentral is "Spermophilus tridecemlineatus (thirteen-lined ground squirrel) tRNA". It matches the Rfam family "tRNA". Rfam says of the family: Transfer RNA (tRNA) molecules are approximately 80 nucleotides in length. Their secondary structure includes four short double-helical elements and three loops (D, anti-codon, and T loops). The record is from Rfam by way of RNAcentral. Lineage: Eukaryota; Metazoa; Chordata; Mammalia; Rodentia; Sciuridae.